Molecule: small nuclear RNA, 107 nt
Organism: Eptesicus fuscus (big brown bat)
Lineage: Eukaryota; Metazoa; Chordata; Mammalia; Chiroptera; Vespertilionidae
Source: RefSeq, a predicted model, not a curated record
GUGCUCACUUGGGCAGCACAUAUACUAAAAUUGGAAUGAUACACAGAUGAUUAGCAUGUCCCUUGCUCAAGGAUGAAAUGAAAAUUCAUGAAGCAUUCCAUAUUUAA